This 486-nucleotide ribosomal RNA is filed under the name uncultured bacterium. RNAcentral describes it as "partial 16S ribosomal RNA". It matches the Rfam family "Bacterial small subunit ribosomal RNA", at positions 30 to 507 of the family's 1533-position model. The record is from RNAcentral.
AUUGAACGCUGGCGGCAUGCCUUACACAUGCAAGUCGAACGGCAGCACGGGUGCUUGCACCUGGUGGCGAGUGGCGCACGGGUGAGUAAUACAUCGGAACAUGUCCUGUAGUGGGGGAUAGCCCGGCGAAAGCCGGAUUAAUACCGCAUACGAUCUACGGAUGAAAGCGGGGGACCUUCGGGCCUCGCGCUAUAGGGUUGGCCGAUGGCUGAUUAGCUAGUUGGUGGGGUAAAGGCCUACCAAGGCGACGACCAGUAGCUGGUCUGAGAGGACGACCAGCCACACUGGGACUGAGACACGGCCCAGACUCCUACGGGAGGCAGCAGUGGGGAAUUUUGGACAAUGGGCGAAAGCCUGAUCCAGCAAUGCCGCGUGUGUGAAGAAGGCCUUCGGGUUGUAAAGCACUUUUGUCCGGAAAGAAAUCCUUGGCCCUAAUACGGUCGGGGGAUGACGGUACCGGAAGAAUAAGCACCGGCUAACUACGUG